CUUCUGAGUAAAUGGGUUUACAAACUACUCAUUGAGAAUGAACCGUGGUGGGAUAUUCUUCGUAACAAGUGUUUGGGGUCCAAAGCCAUUUCUCAAGUUCAUUGAAAGCCCAGGGAUUCAUAUUUUUGGCAUGGUGUGAUGAAGGCCAAGGAAUUGUUUUUCCAAUUUGGCACUAUCUUAGUUAGAAAUGGUUCUCGGGUUCGAUUCUGGGAUGAUACCUGGCUGGGCGCCGCCCCACUUAUGGUGCAAUACUGUAGCUUGUAA
This 264-nucleotide ribosomal RNA is filed under the name Triticum aestivum (bread wheat). RNAcentral describes it as "partial small subunit ribosomal RNA". The record is from RNAcentral. Lineage: Eukaryota; Viridiplantae; Streptophyta; Magnoliopsida; Poales; Poaceae.